GUGCUGGCUUCUGCAGCACACAUACUAAAACUGCAAUAGUACAGAGAAGAUCAGCAUGACUUUUGUGCAAGGAUGACACAUAGAUUCAUGAUGGAUUCUAUUUUUUU
Molecule: small nuclear RNA, 107 nt
Organism: Arvicanthis niloticus (Nile rat)
Lineage: Eukaryota; Metazoa; Chordata; Mammalia; Rodentia; Muridae
Source: RefSeq, a predicted model, not a curated record